RNAcentral lists this ribosomal RNA (464 nucleotides) under Vreelandella stevensii. RNAcentral describes it as "partial 16S ribosomal RNA". It matches the Rfam family "Bacterial small subunit ribosomal RNA", at positions 338 to 795 of the family's 1533-position model. The record is from RNAcentral. Lineage: Bacteria; Pseudomonadati; Pseudomonadota; Gammaproteobacteria; Oceanospirillales; Halomonadaceae.
CCUACGGGUGGCUGCAGUGGGGAAUAUUGGACAAUGGGCGAAAGCCUGAUCCAGCCAUGCCGCGUGUGUGAAGAAGGCCUUCGGGUUGUAAAGCACUUUCAGUGGGAAGAAAGCCUUGGGGCUAAUACCCUCGAGGAAGGACAUCACCCACAGAAGAAGCACCGGCUAACUCCGUGCCAGCAGCCGCGGUAAUACGGAGGGUGCGAGCGUUAAUCGGAAUUACUGGGCGUAAAGCGCGCGUAGGCGGUCUGAUAAGCCGGUUGUGAAAGCCCCGGGCUCAACCUGGGAACGGCAUCCGGAACUGUCAGGCUAGAGUGCAGGAGAGGAAGGUAGAAUUCCCGGUGUAGCGGUGAAAUGCGUAGAGAUCGGGAGGAAUACCAGUGGCGAAGGCGGCCUUCUGGACUGACACUGACGCUGAGGUGCGAAAGCGUGGGUAGCAAACAGGAUUAGAUACCCCAGUAGUC